AAGGGAGACCUAAUUCGGGUAGAAGACGAAAAAAUAGUAGUCGAAACCAAGAAUCAAUCCCAAAAGGUCGGAACGAGGUAUGUGGCUUUCAAACUAGGUUCUGGGUUCACAAAAGACCUGAAUCAGGAACAAGGGCUAUUAGCUCAGGUGGUUAGAGCGCACCCCUGAUAAGGGUGAGGUCCCUGGUUCGAGUCCAGGAUGGCCCACCUGCACAGGUGGCAAAAACAAGAGAAACGAGGAAUCAGCACCUUAUCUUAUCUAUAUAUAAGAGAGAAUGCUGGCUCUGAGUAAAGAGUCCAGAGGAACCUUGAAAACUGCAUAGAGCUAGGUGAAAAAGCCAAAAAAGAAGACCGCAA
RNAcentral lists this transfer RNA (356 nucleotides) under uncultured Microcystis sp. RNAcentral describes it as "partial 16S-23S ribosomal RNA intergenic spacer". The stretch from base 133 to 206 matches the Rfam family "tRNA". Lineage: Bacteria; Bacillati; Cyanobacteriota; Cyanophyceae; Chroococcales; Microcystaceae. The record is from RNAcentral.